Non-coding RNA from Trichobilharzia regenti, 46 nucleotides. NCBI's taxonomy places the organism in Eukaryota, Metazoa, Platyhelminthes, Trematoda, Strigeidida, Schistosomatidae. The record is from Rfam.
GUACUGACAAGGAGUCCCAGAAUAGGAUGAAACAGCUGUCCAGUAC